Molecule: ribosomal RNA, 253 nt
Filed under: uncultured bacterium
Lineage: Bacteria
Description: partial 16S ribosomal RNA
Rfam family: Bacterial small subunit ribosomal RNA
Source: RNAcentral
UACGUAGGGGGCAAGCGUUGUCCGGAAUCAUUGGGCGUAAAGCGCGUGUAGGCGGCCCGGUAAGUCCGCUGUGAAAGUCCAGGGCUCAACCCUGGAAUGCCGGUGGAUACUGUCGGGCUCGAGUCCGGAAGAGGCGAGUGGAAUUCCCGGUGUAGCGGUGAAAUGCGCAGAUAUCGGGAGGAACACCAAUGGCGAAGGCAGCUCGCUGGGACGUUACUGACGCUGAGACGCGAAAGCGUGGGGAGCAAACAGG